UACGUAGGGUGCGAGCGUUAAUCGGAAUUACUGGGCGUAAAGCGUGCGCAGGCGGUGAGCUGUGUCCGAUGUGAAAGCCCCGGGCUUAACCUGGGAAUGGCAUUGGAAACUGGCUCGCUGGAGUGUGGCAGAGGGGGGUGGAAUUCCGCGUGUAGCAGUGAAAUGCGUAGAGAUGCGGAGGAACACCGAUGGCGAAGGCAGCCCCCUGGGCUAACACUGACGCUCAUGCACAAAAGCGUGGGGAGCAAACAGG
This 253-nucleotide ribosomal RNA is filed under the name uncultured bacterium. Its description in RNAcentral is "partial 16S ribosomal RNA". It matches the Rfam family "Bacterial small subunit ribosomal RNA", at positions 524 to 776 of the family's 1533-position model. The record is from RNAcentral.